Molecule: ribosomal RNA, 440 nt
Filed under: uncultured bacterium
Lineage: Bacteria
Description: partial 16S ribosomal RNA
Rfam family: Bacterial small subunit ribosomal RNA
Source: RNAcentral
CCUACGGGUGGCAGCAGUGGGGAAUAUUGCACAAUGGGGGAAACCCUGAUGCAGCGACGCCGCGUGAGUGAAGAAGUAUUUCGGUAUGUAAAGCUCUAUCAGCAGGGAAGAAAAUAGCGGUACCUGGUUUAAGAGGCCCGGCCAACUACGGUCCAGCCACCGCCGUUAGACGUAGGGGGCCAGCGUUAUCCGGAUUUACUGGGUGUAAAGGGGGCGUAGACGGCAGGACAAGUCUGGAGUGAAAUGCCGGGGCUUAACCCCGGAACUGCUUUGGAAACUGGGCAGCUAGAGUGCAGGAGAGGUAAGCGGAAUUCCUAGUGUAGCGGUGAAAUGCGUAGAUAUUAGGAGGAACACCAGUGGCGAAGGCGGCUUACUGGACUGUAACUGACGUUGAGGCUCGAAAGCGUGGGGAGCAAACAGGAUUAGAUACCCCUGUAGUC